GUCCGAGGCAGAGGCAGCAGCAGCAGCAUCUGAGAGCCGCCUGCGCACAGACACAGACACGAGCCUCCCCGUGCGUAAAAGGCUCCACUAUCCGGGAACGUGCGCGUGACCAGAGCGUGGAAGGACGAGUUUACACUUUACCCACAGCUGCUGUCAUCACCAUCCGGCCCGGGCGCGCUGUCUUCGCCGCUGUGUGAUGUAAAAUGCAACGGGAAAGCGGGAUAAAGCCACGGAUUCGCGCAUAAGCAGCAGCAGCAGAAGAAGAAACAGCGACGGAGCGAAACAAGGACAAACCCAAAGCCCAACCAAAGGGGGGAGCAAACGAACCAACCAGCCAGCAAACCCGAGUGGGGACAGCCACGAGAGGCAAACCGAGGAGGUGAAGACGGCAACACUCCAAAGAUCUCAUUUGCCUGUGAUGAGCAGCUCCCUCCAGCAGAGACCAAAGCGCGGCGUUAAACCUGCAUCCAUGGAGACAAGCUGGUGAAGCUUCUAUGUGAAGUUAAAAGGUUGGAUCUGCGGAGAGGC
Long non-coding RNA from Periophthalmus magnuspinnatus, 528 nucleotides. RefSeq lists it as uncharacterized. NCBI's taxonomy places the organism in Eukaryota, Metazoa, Chordata, Actinopteri, Gobiiformes, Gobiidae. The record is from RefSeq and is a predicted model, not a curated record. The transcript is spliced from 3 exons.